UAUACAUCUAUAUAUGUCUACACAUAUCUCUAUACACAUAUAUAUAUAUUUAUAUCUACAUCUAUAUUUCUACAUGUAUAUAGAUAUGUAUAUGUAUUUAUAUACAUAUAUAGAUAUAUUAAUAUUUAUAUCUAUGUCUAUAUAUACAAAUGUAUAUAUGCAGAUAUCUAUAUAUGUAUAUCUACAUAAAUAUCUACAUGCCGAUAUAUAUAUAUAUCUAUGUGUGUAUAUGAUAUCUAUAUACAUGUAGAUAAAGAUAGGCAUGUAUAUGCAUAUAUACAGAUACCUAUGUAUAUAUCUAUCUAUAUACAUAUAUACAUGUAGAUAUAUACAUACCUAUAUACAUGUAGAAAUAUAGAUGUAGAUAUAAAUAUAUAUAUGUGUAUAGAGAUAUGUGUAGACAUAUAUAGAUGUAUACAUAUAUAGAUAGAUAGGUCUAUAUAGAAAACCAUCUAUCUAUAUCUAGAUAGAGAUAUGUAUUGAUAGAUAUCUCUCCCUGUCUAUCUCUAGAUAGAUUAUCUAAUCUAUCUGUAAAACUAUCUUAAAACCAUACUAAUUUAAAAAUCAAGAUUCAUCUUAAUUUAAAAAUCUUAAUUUAAAAGUUAAGAACCAUCUUUAUUUUGUGGUUCAUAUACACCAUGGAAUGUUAGGCAGCCAUAAAAGAGAGUGAGAUCAAGUCCUUUGCAGGAACAUGGAUGGAGCUGGAUGGAGGUCUUUAUCCUUAACAAACUAAUGCAGGAACAGAAAACCAAAUACUGCAUGUUCUCAUUUACAAAUGGGAGCUAAAUUAUGAGAACACAUGAACACAUAGAGGGAAACAACAGACACUGGGGCCUCUGGGAGGGUGGAUGGUGGGAGGAAGCAGAAGAUCAGGAAAAACAAUUAAUGGGUACUAGGCUUAAUAGCUGGGUGGUGAAAUAAUCUGCACAACAAAUCCCUGUGACACUAGUUUACCUACAUAACAAACCUACGCAUGUGCCAUUGACCUGAAAAUAAAAGUUAAAAAAAUUAUUAAAAAUAUGUCAGUAAAAGUCUUUAACCAACACAAGAUGGUUCAUCCCAAGAGUCAUCUUAAUUUAAAAAUCUUCACAUCUUAAGAAGCUACACGGGAGGCUGCGGCAGGAGAAUGGCUUGAACCCAGCAGGCAGGGGUUGCAGUGAAGCGAGAUGGCAACAUUGUACUCCAGCCCGGGCGACAGUGUGAG
This 1204-nucleotide long non-coding RNA is filed under the name Homo sapiens (human). RNAcentral describes it as "HSALNT0358781". The record is from RNAcentral. Lineage: Eukaryota; Metazoa; Chordata; Mammalia; Primates; Hominidae.